GACGAACGCUGGCGGCGUGCUUAACACAUGCAAGUCGAACGGAAAGGCCCCUUUGGGGGUACUCGAGUGGCGAACGGGUGAGUAACACGUGAGUAACCUGCCCUUGACUUCGGGAUAACUUCAGGAAACUGGGGCUAAUACCGGAUAGGAAUCCUUGCUGCAUGGUGGGGGUUGGAAAGCUUCGGCGGUUUUGGAUGGACUCGCGGCUUAUCAGCUUGUUGGUGGGGUAGUGGCUUACCAAGGCUUUGACGGGUAGCCGGCCUGAGAGGGCGACCGGCCACAUUGGGAAUGAGAUAAGGCCCAGACUCCUACGGGAGGCAGCAGUGGGGAAUAUUGCAAAAAGGGCGGAAGCCUGAUGCAGCAACGCCGCGUGCGGGAUGACGGCCUUCGGGUUGUAAACCGCUUUCAGCAGGGGCGAAGCUUGUGGUGACGGUACCUGCAGAAGAAGCACCGGCUAACUACGUG
RNAcentral lists this ribosomal RNA (465 nucleotides) under uncultured bacterium. RNAcentral describes it as "partial 16S ribosomal RNA". It matches the Rfam family "Bacterial small subunit ribosomal RNA", at positions 28 to 507 of the family's 1533-position model. The record is from RNAcentral.